CAAACUGUCAUCCUUGAUGCUGGAGAAGAACACCGGAGUUGCUAUUCUAGUUCUGAUGCAAUUCAUCCCUGUCUCGGAUCACCGUUGUCUUCUGUUCUGCUUCUGCUUCUAGUUGCGCCGGGUUGAACCAUUGUAACUAUAGAGCCGUGUUUGAUGGUGUUGUUGCGGAGAGUUUUCAGUGUAGCUAAUGCCACUGCCAUUGUUUCAUUCUCUUAGUACAGGUCAAGUUUUGUUGUGAAUGGUGCUUUUUCGGCUAUACGGCUGCGGGAAAUAGUCGGAGUCAAUGCUGUUCGAUUUUGGAAUGAGGAAAAAGGAAUUCUCUGACGCGUUUGGUUAGUGGUUUCGCGAGGUAGGGGCGUUUUCAUUAAACUCAUUUUUAUUCUUAAGAGUUGUUAUAAAUUGAUAUUUAAGCAAAUAAAUAUUUUUAGUGAUUAUGGAGUCUUAUGAAUUGAACUGAAUUGCCUUAAAUGAAUGUGAUUGCUUACUUGACUGUGGCUAUUUCUGAAUAUUGAGUUGGUAUUGAGAUAGUGAGUGGAAGAUUAAUUUGAAAAUCUGAUUUGAAUGUUUAUCAAGUAUAAUUUGAGAAUUGGAAAAUGAUUUGAUGUUAGAGUUAAUUUGGGUUUGGAAAAUGGCUUGAGA
Molecule: non-coding RNA, 639 nt
Organism: Arachis ipaensis
Lineage: Eukaryota; Viridiplantae; Streptophyta; Magnoliopsida; Fabales; Fabaceae
Source: RefSeq, a predicted model, not a curated record